CUCUCUAGUGACCGAUAGUGAACCAGUACCGUGAGGGAAAGGUGAAAAGCACCCCGGAAGGGGAGUGAAAUAGAACCUGAAACCGUGUGCUUACAAGUAGUCAGAGCCCGUUAAUGGGUGAUGGCGUGCCUUUUGUAGAAUGAACCGGCGAGUUACGAUUUGAUGCAAGGUUAAGCAGUAAAUGUGGAGCCGUAGCGAAAGCGAGUCUGAAUAGGGCGUUUAGUAUUUGGUCGUAGACCCGAAACCAGGUGAUCUACCCUUGGUCAGGUUGAAGUUCAGGUAACACUGAAUGGAGGACCGAACCCCCUUACGUU
RNAcentral lists this ribosomal RNA (314 nucleotides) under Staphylococcus aureus. RNAcentral's name for it is "partial 23S ribosomal RNA". It matches the Rfam family "Bacterial large subunit ribosomal RNA", at positions 473 to 790 of the family's 2925-position model. Lineage: Bacteria; Bacillati; Bacillota; Bacilli; Caryophanales; Staphylococcaceae. The record is from RNAcentral.